GGCUCAGGACGAACGCUGGCGGCGUGCCUAAUACAUGCAAGUCGAACGAACUCUGGUAUUGAUUGGUGCUUGCAUCAUGAUUUACAUUUGAGUGAGUGGCGAACUGGUGAGUAACACGUGGGAAACCUGCCCAGAAGCGGGGGAUAACACCUGGAAACAGAUGCUAAUACCGCAUAACAACUUGGACCGCAUGGUCCGAGCUUGAAAGAUGGCUUCGGCUAUCACUUUUGGAUGGUCCCGCGGCGUAUUAGCUAGAUGGUGGGGUAACGGCUCACCAUGGCAAUGAUACGUAGCCGACCUGAGAGGGUAAUCGGCCACAUUGGGACUGAGACACGGCCCAAACUCCUACGGGAGGCAGCAGUAGGGAAUCUUCCACAAUGGACGAAAGUCUGAUGGAGCAACGCCGCGUGAGUGAAGAAGGGUUUCGGCUCGUAAAACUCUGUUGUUAAAGAAGAACAUAUCUGAGAGUAACUGUUCAGGUAUUGACGGUAUUUAACCAGAAAGCCACGGCUAACUACGUGCCAGCAGCCGCGGUAAUACGUAGGUGGCAAGCGUUGUCCGGAUUUAUUGGGCGUAAAGCGAGCGCAGGCGGUUUUUUAAGUCUGAUGUGAAAGCCUUCGGCUCAACCGAAGAAGUGCAUCGGAAACUGGGAAACUUGAGUGCAGAAGAGGACAGUGGAACUCCAUGUGUAGCGGUGAAAUGCGUAGAUAUAUGGAAGAACACCAGUGGCGAAGGCGGCUGUCUGGUCUGUAACUGACGCUGAGGCUCGAAAGUAUGGGUAGCAAACAGGAUUAGAUACCCUGGUAGUCCAUACCGUAAACGAUGAAUGCUAAGUGUUGGAGGGUUUCCGCCCUUCAGUGCUGCAGCUAACGCAUUAAGCAUUCCGCCUGGGGAGUACGGCCGCAAGGCUGAAACUCGAAGGAAUUGACGGGGGCCCGCACAAGCGGUGGAGCAUGUGGUUUAAUUCGAAGCUACGCGAAGAACCUUACCAGGUCUUGACAUACUAUGCAAAUCUAAGAGAUUAGACGUUCCCUUCGGGGACAUGGAUACAGGUGGUGCAUGGUUGUCGUCAGCUCGUGUCGUGAGAUGUUGGGUUAAGUCCCGCAACGAGCGCAACCCUUAUUAUCAGUUGCCAGCAUUAAGUUGGGCACUCUGGUGAGACUGCCGGUGACAAACCGGAGGAAGGUGGGGAUGACGUCAAAUCAUCAUGCCCCUUAUGACCUGGGCUACACACGUGCUACAAUGGAUGGUACAACGAGUUGCGAACUCGCGAGAGUAAGCUAAUCUCUUAAAGCCAUUCUCAGUUCGGAUUGUAGGCUGCAACUCGCCUACAUGAAGUCGGAAUCGCUAGUAAUCGCGGAUCAGCAUGCCGCGGUGAAUACGUUCCCGGGCCUUGUACACACCGCCCGUCACACCAUGAGAGUUUGUAACACCCAAAGUCGGUGGGGUAACCUUUUAGGAACCAGCCGCCUAAGGUGGGACAGAUGAUUAGGGUG
RNAcentral lists this ribosomal RNA (1496 nucleotides) under Lactiplantibacillus plantarum. RNAcentral's name for it is "partial 16S ribosomal RNA". It matches the Rfam family "Bacterial small subunit ribosomal RNA". The record is from RNAcentral. Lineage: Bacteria; Bacillati; Bacillota; Bacilli; Lactobacillales; Lactobacillaceae.